CAAUUGGGUGACAGUUUAGUCAGUUGGAAGUCCAAGAAGCAGCCAGUGGUCUCCCUGUCCUCUGCUGAGGCAUAAUACAGGGCCCUCAGUAAGGUGGUUGCUGAGUUAUCUUGGUUAUCUCGUUUACUCACUGAUAUUGGUAUAUUUGUUGUUUUUCCUUUGUUUGUUUACUGUGACAAUCAGGCAGCCAUCCAUAUUGCUAAGAAUCCGGUGUUUCAUGAGCGGACCAAGCACAUUGAAGUCGACUGUCAUUUUGUUCGUACCAAACUUGCAGAUGGCUUGAUCAUCCAUAUUGCUAAGAAUCCGGUGUUUCAUGAGCGGACCAAGCACAUUGAAGUCGACUGUCAUUUCUUUCUUACCAAACUUGUAGAUGGCUUGAUUUCCCUUUCUCAUGUGUCAACCUCUCACCAGCUAGCUGAUGUGCUCACCAAGCCCCUGCCUGGCUCUGCUCAUCAUUAUCUUCUGUCCAAGUUGAAGGUGGUCUCCCCCUCCAACUUACAGGGGGGUGUUGAACUAAAGGAUUACUUAGCCUCCAAGCACAAACACAAACAUUCAUAACUGUUGUAUAUUCAGUGUAUCUUUAUUGUAUAUUGCUGUAUAUUGUAUGUAUAACAGACUUUGGGCCAGAUUGUGUAUUUUAUUUUGGGCAAUUGUUGUAUAUUCAGUGUACCUUAAUUGUAUAUUGCUGUAUAUUGUAUGUAUAACAGGCUUUGGGCUAGAUUGUAUUUAGUUUGGACCUGUUCCUAUUCGG
RNAcentral lists this long non-coding RNA (751 nucleotides) under Nicotiana benthamiana. RNAcentral's name for it is "long non-coding RNA (NBEN_LNC007530)". The record is from RNAcentral. Lineage: Eukaryota; Viridiplantae; Streptophyta; Magnoliopsida; Solanales; Solanaceae.